CUUAUAACCUUCCAUUACCAACUGAUGGGCUCGACAUACGUAGUCGAUAUUAUUUGAAUGGUUAAAGGAAGUCACAACACUACCACCGAAUAAGAAACCAGUCCCACGAGGACUCAAACCUCAUCCAUCAACAAUAUCUUCUGGAUCUGACCAUAGGAGAUCACACAUGGCACCAUUAUGAGGCACUUCUUGCUUCUGGUCAAUUGUUCGAAUCUACCAUAUAGAUGAAAUUACUUUCCUUUCAAACAAGAAAUAUAGCAAAGGAUAACAAACAAGAUUUUUAACUUCUUUUUCUUCCUUAAUCAAGAUGAUAAGUUCUACCGCUCCAAACAUGCUCAAGAGGUUCAGGAUAGUUCUCAAAGCUUAUCUAAUGCUGAAAUUGUUGAAUAUUUGUUUAAAAUCAAUGGAAUGAUAAUGAGCUAAUUGGUUAGCU
This 433-nucleotide long non-coding RNA is filed under the name Olea europaea subsp. europaea. Lineage: Eukaryota; Viridiplantae; Streptophyta; Magnoliopsida; Lamiales; Oleaceae. The record is from RNAcentral.